Molecule: ribosomal RNA, 952 nt
Filed under: Vibrio sp.
Lineage: Bacteria; Pseudomonadati; Pseudomonadota; Gammaproteobacteria; Vibrionales; Vibrionaceae
Description: bacterial SSU rRNA
Rfam family: Bacterial small subunit ribosomal RNA
Source: RNAcentral
AACGGCGUCGAGCGGCGGACGGGUGAGUAAUGCCUAGGAAAUUGCCCUGAUGUGGGGGAUAACCAUUGGAAACGAUGGCUAAUACCGCAUGAUGCCUACGGGCCAAAGAGGGGGACCUUCGGGCCUCUCGCGUCAGGAUAUGCCUAGGUGGGAUUAGCUAGUUGGUGAGGUAAGGGCUCACCAAGGCGACGAUCCCUAGCUGGUCUGAGAGGAUGAUCAGCCACACUGGAACUGAGACACGGUCCAGACUCCUACGGGAGGCAGCAGUGGGGAAUAUUGCACAAUGGGCGCAAGCCUGAUGCAGCCAUGCCGCGUGUGUGAAGAAGGCCUUCGGGUUGUAAAGCACUUUCAGUCGUGAGGAAGGUGGUGUAGUUAAUAGCUGUAUUAUUUGACGUUAGCGACAGAAGAAGCACCGGCUAACUCCGUGCCAGCAGCCGCGGUAAUACGGAGGGUGCGAGCGUUAAUCGGAAUUACUGGGCGUAAAGCGCAUGCAGGUGGUUUGUUAAGUCAGAUGUGAAAGCCCGGGGCUCAACCUCGGAAUUGCAUUUGAAACUGGCAGACUAGAGUACUGUAGAGGGGGGUAGAAUUUCAGGUGUAGCGGUGAAAUGCGUAGAGAUCUGAAGGAAUACCGGUGGCGAAGGCGGCCCCCUGGACAGAUACUGACACUCAGAUGCGAAAGCGUGGGGAGCAAACAGGAUUAGAUACCCUGGUAGUCCACGCCGUAAACGAUGUCUACUUGGAGGUUGUGGCCUUGAGCCGUGGCUUUCGGAGCUAACGCGUUAAGUAGACCGCCUGGGGAGUACGGUCGCAAGAUUAAAACUCAAAUGAAUUGACGGGGGCCCGCACAAGCGGUGGAGCAUGUGGUUUAAUUCGAUGCAACGCGAAGAACCUUACCUACUCUUGACAUCCAGAGAACUUUCCAGAGAUGGAUUGGUGCCUUCGGGAACUCUGA